GAUGAACGCUGGCGGCGUGCCUAAUACAUGCCAGUCGAGCGAACAGACGAGGAGCUUGCUCCUCUGACGUUAGCGGCGGACGGGUGAGUAACACGUGGAUAACCUACCUAUAAGACUGGGAUAACUUCGGGAAACCGGAGCUAAUACCGGAUAAUAUAUUGAACCGCAUGGUUCAAUAGUGAAAGACGGUUUUGCUGUCACUUAUAGAUGGAUCCGCGCCGCAUUAGCUAGUUGGUAAGGUAACGGCUUACCAAGGCAACGAUGCGUAGCCGACCUGAGAGGGUGAUCGGCCACACUGGAACUGAGACACGGUCCAGACUCCUACGGGAGACAGCAGUAGGGAAUCUUCCGCAAUGGGCGAAAGCCUGACGGAGCAACGCCGCGUGAGUGAUGAAGGUCUUCGGAUCGUAAAACUCUGUUAUUAGGGAAGAACAAAUGUGUAAGUAACUAUGCACGUCUUGACGGUACCUAAUCAGAAAGCCACGGCUAACUACGUG
Molecule: ribosomal RNA, 497 nt
Filed under: uncultured bacterium
Lineage: Bacteria
Description: partial 16S ribosomal RNA
Rfam family: Bacterial small subunit ribosomal RNA
Source: RNAcentral